Molecule: ribosomal RNA, 307 nt
Filed under: uncultured eukaryote
Lineage: Eukaryota
Description: partial 18S ribosomal RNA
Rfam family: Eukaryotic small subunit ribosomal RNA
Source: RNAcentral
CCCUUAGACGUUCUGGGCCGCACGCGCGCUACACUGACACAGGCAACGAGCUUUCCUUUACCGAAAGAUAUGGGUAAUCUUUUGAAACUGUGUCGUGCUGGGGAUAGAUCCUUGCAAUUUUUGAUCUUAAACGAGGAAUUCCUAGUAAGCGCGAGUCAUCAACUCGCGUUGAUUACGUCCCUGCCCUUUGUACACACCGCCCGUCGCUACUACCGAUUGAAUGGCUUAGUGAGGCCUCAGGAUCCGCGCUUAAUGUGUGGAGAAUUUGGACAAACUACGUCAUUUAGAGGAAGUAAAAGUCGUAACA